AGGAUGAAGUUUCUAACCUUUAGAAUACUUGAAUGAGUGAAAUCCCCAAGAAAUGGUCACAAAUCUGGUAGCACCUCCCCCUAUUUCGCCAUGGAUAGGGUGAAGCUCGAGCUGGAGGAAGAAAGAGGGGUAUUUAUAGGAGGGACUUUAGUACCGGUUGGGGGCACCAACCGGUACUAAAGGAGGGAGAAUUAGUACCGGUGCCCCAUUUGUACCGGGUUGGGGCAGCAACCGGUACUAAUGGGCACCCCC
RNAcentral lists this long non-coding RNA (252 nucleotides) under Setaria viridis. Its description in RNAcentral is "long non-coding RNA (SVIR_LNC003718)". The record is from RNAcentral. Lineage: Eukaryota; Viridiplantae; Streptophyta; Magnoliopsida; Poales; Poaceae.